This 250-nucleotide ribosomal RNA is filed under the name uncultured bacterium. Its description in RNAcentral is "partial 16S ribosomal RNA". It matches the Rfam family "Bacterial small subunit ribosomal RNA", at positions 524 to 773 of the family's 1533-position model. The record is from RNAcentral.
UACGGGGGGUGCAAGCGUUGUCCGGAAUCACUGGGCGUAAAGGGCGCGUAGGUGGUUUGAUAAGGCUGUGGUGAAAGCCCGGGGCUCAACCCCGGGUCUGCCGUGGCGACUGUCAGACUUGAGGGCUCGAGAGGCAGACGGAAUUCCGGGUGUAGCGGUGGAAUGCGUAGAGAUCCGGAAGAAGACCGGUGGCGAAGGCGGUCUGCUGGCGAGUACCUGACACUGAGGCGCGACAGCGUGGGGAGCAAAC